Molecule: long non-coding RNA, 3648 nt
Filed under: Mus musculus (house mouse)
Lineage: Eukaryota; Metazoa; Chordata; Mammalia; Rodentia; Muridae
Description: predicted gene 43462
Source: RNAcentral
AUAGUUCUUUUUCGUUUGAUAAUCCAUUUUCCACCUAUCUUUAUAUAUUAUAUUUCCUUUUAUGUCAUUUCUGAAUUUCUUAGGAUCUCUAAAAUUGUGUAUAAUAUUUAUUUUUCUAAUUGAAAAUACUGAUAGGAUAGCAUUGGAAAUGUAAAUGAGUUAAAUACCUAAUAAAAAAUGGAAAAAAAAAAAAAAAGAAAAUACUGAUAGGAAACAUGGUAGAUCUUUUAAUUAUUUAAUUUAGGAACUAAAAGACUUCAAAUAUAACACAGUACAGCCUUUAUUUAACCAACUUUUUCUUUUCCUCCAUUUUUUAUUUUUAUGUAUUUUUAAUUGGAAAUAGAUUUUUUUUCACACAAGAUAUUAUUAUGGUAUCUUUUCUUCCUACUCCUCCCAGUUCCUCCCCACAUCUCCUUCCAUCUUGAUCCACCCCAAAUCCUUAGAAAACAAGCUGGCAUCUAAGGAAUAAUAAUAAAGUACAUUAAGAUAAAACAAAACAAAACAAAUUGGAAUAGGACAAAACAACUAAGUGAGAAAAAGAUCCAAAGAAAAACCACAGGAGACGCACAGUUGAGAGACAUGCAUGAAUCUCAUAAAAACGUAAGACUGAAAGCCAUACUAUGUAUGUGAAGGACCUAUAAGGUGAAACAAAGGAUGCCCUGAUGUAACUUUAUGAGAGAGAGCAUCUCCUAAGAUCCCAUUGAGUUUGUUUUGUCCCGGCCAUCUAGGCUGGGCAUGGGGCCUACCUUCAAGUGGUUGGUUUUCCCAGGGAGACUCCCUUGGAGAAAACUCAUUUUUUAUUUGCAAAUGGCUAUCAAUUGGAGAUAGAGUCUUGGUGGAAGCAUGUGUCCACUUUCAGCUCUAGGAGCCCAUCUGGUGCAGCCCCAUGCAGGCUCUGUGCAUGCUGCCACAGUCUCUGUGAGUUCAUCUGUGUGCAGUCCUGUUGAGUCUAGAAGGCCUUCACUCCAUCUCCUCUGCUCUUAUGCUAUCUCUGUCCCCUCUUCCAAAGAGUUCUGCCCUGAGGAGAGGGAUCUGAUGAGAGACGUUUCUUUUGGGCCUGAGUGUUCCUCAAUCUUUCACUUUCUGCAUAUUGUCUGUCUCUGGGUCUAUGUAUUUGUUUAUAUCUGCUGCAGAAAAAAAAAAGCUACUCUAAUAAUGGUUGAGCAAGGCAUGGGUCUAUGAGUACAGCAGAGUGCCAUUUGGAGUCAUGUAUUGCUAUGUUCAUUUCGCAGAGCAGUAGUGCUUGGUUUUCUCCUAGGCCCCUGGCCUGUCUCGUCUCAGAUUCUUGGUUACCCAAACAGAAUUGGGUAUGGCUUUUAUCUCAUGAAGUAGGCCUUAGUUCAAAUUAAAUAUUGGCUGGUUAUCCCACAGGGUUUAGACCACUAUUGCGCUAGCAUAUCUUGUCGACAGGUUAUCAUUAUAUGUCAGAGGUUUGUAGCUGGGUUGUUGGUAUUUACCUUUCUCCUCUGGUGGUGUUCAGAGUACCUCCUGUACUGUAAACUAUAUCAUGGAAGCUAGUUCAUAGGGAGGAAGACUCUAGAUCAGCACCAGCUUGACCUCUCCAUGUUCAAUGACUUGUGUAGCUGUUUCCUUUCAGUUUGUGGAAAGCCAUCAUAUCAACCAUAUCCAUCCAGACUAUUUGCCUUUCCUAGGGAGAUCAGUCCCUCCUUGCUAGUCCCUUAUUCUCUACCUAGCCUCUGUGGUUAUAUGAGUAUUUAGCAUGUUUAUCUUUGACUUAAAUGUAAUAGCCACAUAUAAGCAAUUACAUAUACAUUUGUCUUUCUGGGUCUGAGGCACCUCGCGCAGGAUUUUUUUUUUUCCCCUGCAUUUACCUGUGAAUUUCAUGAUUUCACUUAAAAAAAACCAACAAAACAAAACAAAACAAAACAAAACAAAACAAAAAAACAGUUGAGUUAUAUUCCAUAGUAUAAGCGUACCGUACUUUCUUUACCUAUUGAUCUACUGAAGAUCCAUACAGGUUGUUUCCAAUUUCUGGCAAUUAUGCAUAGAACAAUAAUGAACUUGGCUGAGGAGGUGUCUCUGUAGUUGAAUAAAGUGUCUUUUGAGUAUAUGCUCAAGAGUGGUUAUUUCUGGGUCUUGAGGUAGGUGAAUGACCAUCUCUUCAGGAACCAUCACACUGAUUUCCCUAUGGGAAGUACAAGUUUGCAGUCCCCCAGCAGUGGAUGAGUGUUCCCUUCACAUCCUCGCCAGCAAGAGCUCUCCUCAUUUUAUUGAUCUUGUCCAUUCUGAGAUGGAAUCUCAGUGUAGUUCUGAUUUGCAUUUCCCCGAUGACUAAGGAUAUUGAACAUUUAUUCAAGUGCUUCUCAGCCAUUUGAAAUUUCUCUUUUGAGAAUUCUCUGUUUAGAUCUGUACCCCAUUUUUUUUUAAUUGUUUUUUUUUUCUUGGCAUCUAGUAUUUUUGAGUUCUUUAUAUAUUUUGGAUAUUAGUCAUUUAUUGGGUGUGUAGUUGGUAAAAAUCUUUUCCCAUUUGUAGGCUGCCACUUUGUUUGAAUGAUAGCGUCCUUUGCCAUACAGAAGCGUUUCGGUUUCAGGAGAUUACAUUUAUUAAUUGUUAAUUUUAGUGCCUUUGGCAUUGGUGUUCCGUUCAGAAGUUCUUUUCCUGUGACAGUAAGUCCAAGACUAUUCCCCACUUUCUCUUCCAUGAGAUUUAGUGUAUCUGGCCUCUUAUUGAAGAGGUCUGGUCUGUGAUCCAUUUUAGUUUUAUGCAGGAUGAUGAGUGUGGGUCUCUUUGCAUUCUUCUCCGUGCACAUGUGCAGCCAUUUAGUUUGACCAGCACAAGUUGUUGAGAAGUUAUUUUUCACCUUGUAUUUCUGGCUUAUUUAAAAAAAAAAUCAGGUUUCUGUGUUUAGACUUAUUUCUGUGUCAUUGAUCAAUAUAUCUGUUAAACCAACCAUUUAACAAGUUAGAAACACCUCAUUACAAUCAAGAACAAGGCACUGUUUAGCAUUUUUCUGGAAGUAGUAACAAAUCUAAUAAGAAUGAGAAAUAAAAAGUAAUGGAUUUUAGGCAAAAUUAUAUAUAUUAUGACUGCCUAAUUUAAAGAUAACUUAAAAUGCAAUUAUUUAAAAGCUAAUGGGUAACUAGUUAAGUUAAGGUAAGAAACAAGUUUGGAUUGGAAGGUAAAUGCUGGAAGAGUCCCACAGGAAGAAGAGCUCAGGCUGCUACAGAGGAGGCUCAGCUGUCUGCCUCACAGACAGGUUCUCACUGAACAACCUGUGUCAGCACAGAGGCAUUCCUAGCCAUCACAAGGACAUUAAACAUGUCUUAAAGGAUGAAAAUGAAACUUCAUUAUUAAUAAUAGAGUCUUAUUACACAGAAUUCAACUGAAAAUUAGUACAUAUGGUAUGAAACAGGAGAAUGUUACAUAGUCAGAAGUGAAAUCUGUCAGGAGAGAAGCAGGCAGAGAACUAGUCUGACCUCCAAGGCCUGGGAGCAGGUUUUGUAAACAUGGUGAAGUCUCUAGAGGGAAGUGUAACAAUGAGAAGAGUGACCUAUAAAAGGGCCCAGAUGGAGCUCCUAAAGCUAAAUCCAUAGGAAGCAAAUUCACCUGACAGAUUUAACGGUUUUUACUAUAGCUUGAAGAUCUGUGAAUUUGAAAGUAAAGCACUAGAAAUCACCAAAUAAAAUC